CCCUUAGAUGUUCGGGGCCGCACGCGCGCUACACUGAAGGACUCAACGUGCUUGUUGUCCUGGUCUGGAAAGACUGGGUAGCCCGAUGAACCUCCUUCGUGCUAGGGAUUGGGGCUUGCAAUUCUUGCCCAUGAACGAGGAAUUCCCAGUAAGCGCGAGUCAUCAGCUCGUGUUGAUUACGUCCCUGCCCUUUGUACACACCGCCCGUCGCUACUACCGAUUGAAUGGUUUAGUGAGACCCUCGGAUUCGUCCCAGCAGGGUGGGUCACCACCUUAUUGGUGUGCGGAGAAGACGGUCGAACUUGAUCAUUUAGAGGAAGUAAAAGUCGUAACA
Molecule: ribosomal RNA, 334 nt
Filed under: uncultured eukaryote
Lineage: Eukaryota
Description: partial 18S ribosomal RNA
Rfam family: Eukaryotic small subunit ribosomal RNA
Source: RNAcentral